CUUGACUGUAUCCUGGAAUUGGGUUCGGGCUUUUCUUGCGCAGUCUAGGUGGGAGGCAUUGAAGAUUUCCUUCCGGGGAAAUUGGAGCCAUCAGUGAGAGACCACUCUGGAAAGGCUAGAAUCCUAAUAGUGAUCCUUUAUUCAGGACACUUGACGUUUUCAGGUGGGCAGUUUCUUUGGGGCGAAGACCUCAUAAAAGGUAACUGAGGCGCGCAAAGGUUCCCUCAGUCUGGACGGAAAUCAGACGUUACAGAGUGUAAAGGCAAAAGGGAGCUUGACUGCAAGACCUACAAGUCGAGCAGGGGCGAAAGCCGGCCUUAGUGAUCCGACGGUACCGAGUGGAAGGGCCGUCGCUCAACGGAUAAAAGUUA
RNAcentral lists this ribosomal RNA (371 nucleotides) under uncultured organism. RNAcentral describes it as "bacterial LSU rRNA". It matches the Rfam family "Bacterial large subunit ribosomal RNA", at positions 2099 to 2465 of the family's 2925-position model. The record is from RNAcentral.